Molecule: unclassified non-coding RNA, 309 nt
Filed under: Hevea brasiliensis (rubber tree)
Lineage: Eukaryota; Viridiplantae; Streptophyta; Magnoliopsida; Malpighiales; Euphorbiaceae
Source: RNAcentral
UUUUUUUUUUCUUUUCAUAGAUGAUUGGAGACAAAAUAAAUAAAAAAUAAAAUAACCUGUGAUUACCUCUAAGCUAGAAAAUGGGUUGUUUAGUCCACCAACCACACAGUAGUAGUGUAGAAUAAUGAGCAUCAGCUUGUCCAAGUCUAGGACAUAAAAGAAGGUGAUAUUCCUAUUUUAAUUUAGUAAAAUUACUACUUUACCCCUGAGAGAUUUAGAAAUUCUAGGGGGGUCCAGUGCCUCCCUUGGCCCUAGUGUGGCUCCGCCACUGCCUCCGACACACUACCAAGGAGGAGAACUGUAAUUAUA